UAUUGUAAUUGGAUUGUAUUUUAAAUAGUAAUGCAUUCCAGCAGUCUACAACAGGACAUCUACAUAAAUUAUGGAUAUCCUCGGGGAGGUGGGGGGGGAUACGAAUGGUCUUGUGCUUGUUAAUUGAAUGUCUGUGGCAGUCUUGGUAGUCAGGUGGGUCCACAGUAAUAUAUAUGUAUAAUAAUAAUCCUUACAUUUGAUAUAGCACUUUUCACAUCUUCUAGAUAACUCAAAGCGCUUCACAGAAUAUACUGUAAAGUGAAUUGACUGCAUAUUUGUGGGCGAAACGCGGCAGCCAGUCGCGCAUAGCAGUGUCCCACAAACAAUCGUGGAUUGAAGUGAUCAAUUUUAUUAUUGUUUUUUUUCUUGAGGGAUUAUUAUCAGGCGUGUGGAGUAAGGAAAUUUGCCCAAGGUUUCACCCUGGCAACAAUCAAACCCAGGUCUCUCGAUUGUGAGGUGGAGUCAUUGGGCUGCUUCACCAAUUGAUUCCUAUUUGUUGUUGAUCAGGGCUUCCUCAAGAUCACUCUUCCAUAUUGUUACCACUGUAUUUGUGUUUCCUGACCUCAUGGAAAUAAAGAUUUACUAUCCUCA
Callorhinchus milii (elephant shark) is the source of this 591-nucleotide long non-coding RNA. RefSeq lists it as uncharacterized. The record is from RefSeq and is a predicted model, not a curated record. NCBI's taxonomy places the organism in Eukaryota, Metazoa, Chordata, Chondrichthyes, Chimaeriformes, Callorhinchidae. The transcript has 2 exons.